RNAcentral lists this ribosomal RNA (484 nucleotides) under uncultured bacterium. RNAcentral describes it as "partial 16S ribosomal RNA". It matches the Rfam family "Bacterial small subunit ribosomal RNA", at positions 30 to 507 of the family's 1533-position model. The record is from RNAcentral.
AUUGAACGCUGGCGGCAGGCCUAACACAUGCAAGUCGAGCGGUAGAGAGAAGCUUGCUUCUCUUGAGAGCGGCGGACGGGUGAGUAAUGCCUAGGAAUCUGCCUGGUAGUGGGGGAUAACGUUCGGAAACGGACGCUAAUACCGCAUACGUCCUACGGGAGAAAGCAGGGGACCUUCGGGCCUUGCGCUAUCAGAUGAGCCUAGGUCGGAUUAGCUAGUUGGUGGGGUAAUGGCUCACCAAGGCGACGAUCCGUAACUGGUCUGAGAGGAUGAUCAGUCACACUGGAACUGAGACACGGUCCAGACUCCUACGGGAGGCAGCAGUGGGGAAUACUGGACAAUGGGCGAAAGCCUGAUCCAGCCAUGCCGCGUGUGUGAAGAAGGUCUUCGGAUUGUAAAGCACUUUAAGUUGGGAGGAAGGGCAGUAAAUUAAUACUUUGCUGUUUUGACGUUACCGACAGAAUAAGCACCGGCUAACUCUGUG